AGAGUUGAUCAUGGCUCAGGAUGAACGCUAGCUACAGGCUUAACACAUGCAAGUCGAGGGGCAGCAUGAUCUUAGCUUGCUAAGAUUGAUGGCGACCGGCGCACGGGUGAGUAACGCGUAUCCAACCUUCCCUAUAGUAGGGGAUAGCCCGUAGAAAUGCGGAUUAAUACCCUAUGUUGUAUUUAGAUGACAUCUGACGAAUACCAAAGGCUCACCGCUAUAGGAUGGGGAUGCGUCUGAUUAGGUAGUCGGCGGGGUAACGGCCCACCGAGCCAACGAUCAGUAGGGGUUCUGAGAGGAAGGUCCCCCACAUUGGAACUGAGACACGGUCCAAACUCCUACGGGAGGCAGCAGUGAGGAAUAUUGGUCAAUGGGCGAGAGCCUGAACCAGCCAAAGUAGCGUGCAGGAUGACGGCCCUAUGGGUUGUAAACUGCUUUUAUGCGGGGGUAAAGUGGGGGACGUGUCCCCCUUUGUAGGUACCGCAUGAAUAAGGACCGGCUAAUUCCGUGCCAGCCGCAGC
RNAcentral lists this ribosomal RNA (521 nucleotides) under uncultured bacterium. RNAcentral's name for it is "bacterial SSU rRNA". It matches the Rfam family "Bacterial small subunit ribosomal RNA", at positions 8 to 518 of the family's 1533-position model. The record is from RNAcentral.